UUUUGGACAAUGGGGGCAACCCUGAUCCAGCCAUGCCGCGUGAGUGAAGAAGGCCUUCGGGUUGUAAAGCUCUUUCGGACGGAACGAAAUGGGCGGGACUAAUACUCCUGUCUGAUGACGGUACCGUAAGAAGAAGCACCGGCUAACUACGUGCCAGCAGCCGCGGUAAUACGUAGGGUGCGAGCGUUAAUCGGAAUUACUGGGCGUAAAGCGUGCGCAGGCGGUUUCGUAAGCUGGAGGUGAAAUCCCCGGGCUUAACCUGGGAAUGGCCUUCAGGACUGCGAGGCUAGAGUGCGGCAGAGGGAGGUGGAAUUCCACGUGUAGCAGUGAAAUGCGUAGAGAUGUGGAGGAACACCGAUGGCGAAGGCAGCCCCCUGGGCUAACACUGACGCUCGGCACGAAA
Molecule: ribosomal RNA, 403 nt
Filed under: uncultured bacterium
Lineage: Bacteria
Description: bacterial SSU rRNA
Rfam family: Bacterial small subunit ribosomal RNA
Source: RNAcentral